Molecule: ribosomal RNA, 637 nt
Filed under: uncultured Bacillota bacterium
Lineage: Bacteria; Bacillati; Bacillota
Description: bacterial SSU rRNA
Rfam family: Bacterial small subunit ribosomal RNA
Source: RNAcentral
AGAGUUUGAUCCUGGCUCAGGACGAACGCUGGCGGCGUGCCUAACACAUGCAAGUCGAACGGAGACAGUAGCAAUAUUGUCUUAGUGGCGGACGGGUGAGUAACGCGUGAGCAAUCUGCCCUUCGGUGGGGGACAACAGCUGGAAACGGCUGCUAAUACCGCAUAACGUAUAUUGGUGGCAUCAUCGAUAUACCAAAGAUUUAUCGCCGAAGGAUGAGCUCGCGUCUGAUUAGCUAGUUGGUAGGGUAACGGCCUACCAAGGCUUCGAUCAGUAGCCGGACUGAGAGGUUGAACGGCCACAUUGGGACUGAGAUACGGCCCAGACUCCUACGGGAGGCAGCAGUGGGGAAUAUUGGGCAAUGGGCGAAAGCCUGACCCAGCAACGCCGCGUGAAGGAAGAAGGCUUUCGGGUUGUAAACUUCUUUGACCAGGGACGAAAUUUGACGGUACCUGGAAAACAAGCCACGGCUAACUACGUGCCAGCAGCCGCGGUAAUACGUAGGUGGCAAGCGUUGUCCGGAUUUACUGGGUGUAAAGGGCGCGUAGGCGGGACUGCAAGUCAGAUGUGAAAUCUGGGGGGCUAAACCCUCAAACCUGCAUUUGAAACUGUGGGUUCUUGAGUAUCGGAGAGGCAGGC